This 224-nucleotide long non-coding RNA is filed under the name Dermacentor andersoni. RNAcentral describes it as "uncharacterized LOC126540157". Lineage: Eukaryota; Metazoa; Arthropoda; Arachnida; Ixodida; Ixodidae. The record is from RNAcentral.
GGUGCCGUGGCAAGAGAGCCACGUAAAAGACUGCAGAUGGUAACCAGCCAAAGGUGUCACUGCUGGGAGUUCGAUGAGCGCUGCUGCCUGCCUCGAAAUCCACCCACCCGACCUCAUGGAUCUCAUUCAAUGAAAGUUCGAGUUGGGAGUCAUUCUGGCUUCCGCUGCCACUUUCGGCAGACUUGUCUGAUCUGCAUCAAGCAUAAAUAAAAACAUCUGCUGCA